UUUUUUUAAAUAAAACAAAAUCUAAAAUCUUUCCAAUCUACGAUAAUUUUAGUUUUCUUGGGCCACUUGAAAUAAAGGCUAAGAACACUGAUGUCCGAAAUUGAGGCAAGCCUCUUCGGGUGCAUCGCCAUUCUUCCCUGCUUGACCAACCAGGUCAAAAGCCUUCAUAGGAAUGACUUUGUAUAAUAAUCCAGGGGGGUAAUGGAUUGCAUCCCCCCUGAAACCACCUAUGCUUCUAAGGAGGGGGGACCGAGAACGACGGGAAGCUGCAGCAGCAGCUCUGGGAGAGGGAGGAGAACCAGGACAACAGCUGCAGGAGGAGGAGGAGGAGGAUUCCGAUGAUGACAGUGAAGUAGGAGAAGAAGAGGAUGAUUCUGAUGAUGAAGACGGGCCUCCUGGAUUAAACUGUGCUCAGUCCUAAAUUGUCCAAAAAAUACAGUGGUCUCUAUAAAACUGUGGAUUAGGAAGAAUCUUAAGAAGCUUGAAAAUCAUUCUAAGAAGCAAAAUGGUGCAACAAUCCUCUUCCUAUUCAACAUUUUUAUUGGUCUUACUGAAUCUCUUAUUAAAAGAUUUUACGAAAAAUUCAACCAAUGUGAGUUUUCCAAUCCGACCAAUGAGAGGCUAAGAAAUCUUAAAAGAUAAAUAUUCACAAACUAAUUCAGUUUAUCUCCUGUAGCUGUUUUAACUAAGAUGUUAAUUUUUGAAAUGGCAAAUUAUCCCCCAGAAAUUUUGAUUCUCCUAAAAGCCAAGUCUAUUCAAAUUGAAAAUUGUUAGAUUUAUAAGAAAAUAGCUACACUACAGUGGUAGGCAAUUGUAACAAUACAAAGAAGACGACUUUUUAUUUAAGUUUUGAAAGUUUUUUUUCAAGUUGCAAGUUACUAGAAUUCAACGAGAAACUUGUUUGUGUUUCCAUGCUAUUCUACACCUUAAUAUAAAGCAAUUUUUAAAUAGAAAGUCGUCUUCAUUGUAUUAAUAUAAUCGCCUACCACUGUACUCUAUCCUACGUGUCAUUUAUUUGUCAUUUUCUUGAGUCAUCCUAAUCUUGUUGAAAUUGACAUUUAUGAAAAAAAAUGAAAAUUUAAUUUAAAGUUUAAAAAAAUAAAUAUUUAUUUUUAAAGAAAUUUGAUAAUCAUACAUUGUAAUGUAAGAUUUACAAAUAAAUUUUAUAUUUUUAA
This is a long non-coding RNA of Eurytemora carolleeae, 1175 nucleotides long. RefSeq lists it as uncharacterized. The transcript has 3 exons. The record is from RefSeq and is a predicted model, not a curated record. NCBI's taxonomy places the organism in Eukaryota, Metazoa, Arthropoda, Copepoda, Calanoida, Temoridae.